Non-coding RNA from Gossypium hirsutum (cotton), 139 nucleotides. NCBI's taxonomy places the organism in Eukaryota, Viridiplantae, Streptophyta, Magnoliopsida, Malvales, Malvaceae. The record is from Rfam.
UGUUAAAAUUUGUCCAUUUCUACUGUUAAAAACCAGCAUGAACAGAAUAACCAAAUAAUUACACAUGGUGCACCACGUGUACCUCAUGCCGACGUACAAGAAUCAAUUUUUAAUAAUAGAAAUGGAUAGGAUUUUAACA